Molecule: unclassified non-coding RNA, 233 nt
Filed under: uncultured fungus
Lineage: Eukaryota; Fungi
Also listed under: 1 other name
Description: partial contains small subunit ribosomal RNA, internal transcribed spacer 1, and 5.8S ribosomal RNA
Source: RNAcentral
UCUCCGUUGGUGAACCAGCGGAGGGAUCAUUACAGAGUUGCAAAACUCCCUAAACCAUUGUGAACGUUACCUCCAACCGUUGCUUCGGCGGGCGGCACCGGGUCCCCCCCCGGUGCCCCUCGGCCCUCGCGGGCGCCCGCCGGAGGUUACCAAACUCUUUGAUACCUUAUGGCCUCUCUGAGUCUUCUGUACUGAAUAAGUCAAAACUUUCAACAACGGAUCUCUUGGUUCUG